Molecule: ribosomal RNA, 533 nt
Filed under: uncultured bacterium
Lineage: Bacteria
Description: bacterial SSU rRNA
Rfam family: Bacterial small subunit ribosomal RNA
Source: RNAcentral
UAAGGAAUAUUCCCCAAUGGGCGAAAGCCUGAGGGAGCGACGCCGCGUGCGGGAGGAAGCCUUUCGGGGUGUAAACCGCUUUUUGGGGGGAUGACACUCCGGGUGUGAAAGCACCUGGAUACGACAGUACCCCCAGAAUAAGCCUCGGCUAACUACGUGCCAGCAGCCGCGGUAAUACGUAGGAGGCGAGCGUUGUCCGGAUUUACUGGGCGUAAAGAGCGCGCAGGCGGCACUACAAGUACGCAGUGAAAUCUACCUGCUCAACGGGUAGGGUGCUGAGUAGACUGUAGAGCUAGAGGUGGGCAGAGGGUGGUGGAAUUGCUGGUGUAGCGGUGAAAUGCGUAGAGAUCAGCAGGAACACCCGUGGCGAAGGCGGCCACCUGGACCCAACCUGACGCUGAGGCGCGAAGGCUAGGGGAGCGAACGGGAUUAGAUACCCCGGUAGUCCUAGCAGUAAACGAUGUCCACUAGGUGUGGGGGGUUGUUGACCCCUUCCGUGCCGAAGCCAACGCAUUAAGUGGACCGCCUGGGGA